RNAcentral lists this ribosomal RNA (465 nucleotides) under Vreelandella stevensii. RNAcentral describes it as "partial 16S ribosomal RNA". It matches the Rfam family "Bacterial small subunit ribosomal RNA", at positions 338 to 795 of the family's 1533-position model. Lineage: Bacteria; Pseudomonadati; Pseudomonadota; Gammaproteobacteria; Oceanospirillales; Halomonadaceae. The record is from RNAcentral.
CCUAUGGGUGGCUGCAGUGGGGAAUAUUGGACAAUGGGCGAAAGCCUGAUCCAGCCAUGCCGCGUGUGUGAAGAAGGCCUUCGGGUCGUAAAGCACUUUCAGUGGGGAAGAAAGCCUUGGGGCUAAUACCCUCGAGGAAGGACAUCACCCACAGAAGAAGCACCGGCUAACUCCGUGCCAGCAGCCGCGGUAAUACGGAGGGUGCGAGCGUUAAUCGGAAUUACUGGGCGUAAAGCGCGCGUAGGCGGUCUGAUAAGCCGGUUGUGAAAGCCCCGGGCUCAACCUGGGAACGGCAUCCGGAACUGUCAGGCUAGAGUGCAGGAGAGGAAGGUAGAAUUCCCGGUGUAGCGGUGAAAUGCGUAGAGAUCGGGAGGAAUACCAGUGGCGAAGGCGGCCUUCUGGACUGACACUGACGCUGAGGUGCGAAAGCGUGGGUAGCAAACAGGAUUAGAUACCCCGGUAGUC